GACUCAGGAUGAACGCUAGCGGCAGGCUUAACACAUGCAAGUCGAGGGGUAACGGGGCGUAGCAAUACGCUGCCGACGACCGGCGCACGGGUGCGUAACGCGUAUGCAACCUACCUUGUACAGGGGGAUAACGGAGUGAAAAUUCCACUAAUAUCCCAUAGUGUUGGAGAUUCGCAUGUUUCUCCAACUAAAGCUUCGGUGGUACAAGAUGGGCAUGCGUGACAUUAGCUAGUUGGUAAGGUAACGGCUUACCAAGGCGACGAUGUCUAGGGGAGCUGAGAGGCUUAUCCCCCACACUGGUACUGAGACACGGACCAGACUCCUACGGGAGGCAGCAGUGAGGAAUAUUGGUCGAUGGACGGAAGUCUGAACCAGCCAUGCCGCGUGGAGGAAGAAGGUCCUAUGGGUUGUAAACUCCUUUUGUCCGAGAGUAAUAAGGUCCUUGCGAGGACCGAUGAGAGUAUCGGGCGAAUAAGCAUCGGCUAACUCCGUGCCAGCAGCCGC
Molecule: ribosomal RNA, 504 nt
Filed under: uncultured bacterium
Lineage: Bacteria
Description: bacterial SSU rRNA
Rfam family: Bacterial small subunit ribosomal RNA
Source: RNAcentral